GGCUGGGCCCCAGCACAGAGGUAGUGCGCCUACACGGCAUGGAGGAGGACGCCGGUUCGAACCCGGCCGCCCAGCCC
RNAcentral lists this transfer RNA (77 nucleotides) under Streptomyces sp. H27-H1. RNAcentral describes it as "tRNA-Ala". Lineage: Bacteria; Bacillati; Actinomycetota; Actinomycetes; Kitasatosporales; Streptomycetaceae. The record is from RNAcentral.